RNAcentral lists this ribosomal RNA (253 nucleotides) under uncultured bacterium. Its description in RNAcentral is "partial 16S ribosomal RNA". It matches the Rfam family "Bacterial small subunit ribosomal RNA", at positions 524 to 776 of the family's 1533-position model. The record is from RNAcentral.
UACGGAGGGUGCAAGCGUUGCUCGGAAUUAUUGGGCGUAAAGGGUAGGUAGGUGGUCUUAUUUGUGUGGGGUGAAAGCCUUGGGCUUAACUCAAGAAGUGCCCCGCAAACGGUAAGACUAGAGUCUUGGAGAGGCUAGCGGAAUUCCCGGUGUAGCGGUGAAAUGCGUAGAUAUCGGAAGGAACACCUGUGGCGAAAGCGGCUCACUGGACCAUAACUGACGCUGAGGCGCGAAAGCUAGGGGAGCAAACAGG